This 329-nucleotide small nuclear RNA is filed under the name Gorilla gorilla gorilla (western lowland gorilla). RNAcentral describes it as "7SK RNA (ENSGGOG00000037069.1)". It matches the Rfam family "7SK RNA". From Rfam's summary of the family: 7SK was discovered as an abundant small nuclear RNA in the mid-70s but a possible function has only recently been suggested. Two independent studies have found that 7SK RNA binds the CDK9/cyclin T complex (known as elongation factor P-TEFb). The record is from Rfam by way of RNAcentral. Lineage: Eukaryota; Metazoa; Chordata; Mammalia; Primates; Hominidae.
GGAUGUGAAGGCGAUCUGGCUGUGACAUCUGUCACCCCAGCGAUCACCCAGGUUGAUUCGGCUGAUCUUGCUGAUAAGUCAGGUGUCCCCUUCCCCAUCACCACUCCAUGUGUGACCUCCUGAAGCUGUGCCAAAGAUUCCCCGAUAGAGGAGGACCGGUCUUCGGUCACGGAUAUAUGAAUAGCUGCACUCCCCUGCUAGAACCUCCAAAAAAGCUCUCAAACUUCACCGGGGACUCCUCUCUGCAGGGGUCUUUCCUGUCAGCAAGGCCUCAGCCACCACCACUAUCCCCUCUGCAGGCCAAGGCCGAUGGCAGAGAAGACACCAUU